RNAcentral lists this ribosomal RNA (403 nucleotides) under Fusobacteriota bacterium. RNAcentral describes it as "Fusobacteria bacterium partial 16S ribosomal RNA". It matches the Rfam family "Bacterial small subunit ribosomal RNA", at positions 355 to 776 of the family's 1533-position model. Lineage: Bacteria; Fusobacteriati; Fusobacteriota. The record is from RNAcentral.
UGGGGAAUUUUGCACAAUGGAGGAAACUCUGAUGCAGCGACGCCGCGUGAGUGAUGAAGAUCUUCGGAUUGUAAAACUCUGUCCUUAGUGAAGAUAAUGACAGUAACUAAGAAGCAAGCCCUGGCUAAAUACGUGCCAGCAGCCGCGGUAAUACAUAUGGGGCAAGCGUUGUCCGGAAUUAUUGGGCGUAAAGGGUACGUAGGCGGUUUAAUAAGUCCUAAUUAAAAGGCUAUGGCUCAACCAUAGUAUGGUUAGGAAACUGUUGAACUUGAGUAGAUGAGGGGAAAGUGGAAUUCCAUGUGUAGCGGUGAAAUGCGUAGAUAUAUGGAGGAACACCAAUGGCGAAGGCAACUUUCUGGAAUCAAACUGACGCUGAGGUACGAAGGCGUGGGGAGCAAACAGG